GUGGGUUUUUCUUGUUAUUAUGUCCAGGAGUUGAUGGGGACACUGCUGGAAGAAAAACUCGCCAACCUUGUUGGAGUCUGGGGAUCUGUGUCCUUCCGGGUUUACUGGGCCUCUAUUCCUUUCUGAUGAUUGGACUCUACCUGUGCUCAGGUAAACUGGGUCCUUGCUGCUGUAAUCCAGGGAUUCAGCGUUCUUUGAGGAUCACAGAGGAAGAUUCUUUACAUUACUCCAGUCUGAGGCAUCCAGAUAAGCCCCGCCCGUCUGUCAAGACCAGACCUAGAUUGGCAGAAGACCUGGUCACAUAUUCUACAGUGACCACUCGCAAAAACUUAAAUGGAUAACAAGCAGAAAAUAGAUCAUUUUAUUUCUGCUCAGCGACUCUUAAUAUGACAUUUGUUGAUUCUUAGGAAACUUUAUUCUACCGUAGUUUAAAAGUAAAAUCAUUUUCUAUUGUUUUUUUUCUGAUUAAUUUUCAAAUAUAUAUAUAUUUUUCCAGUAAAUCUAGAGCAUACACGGAUUUCUAGAUAACUGCUUUAGUCCUUCAGUAGAGCUAAAUAAAAUAUUAAUAUUUCAAAUCUUCUGCUAUACCCACAAAGCGGGACACAAUAUGGGACUACAAUGCAAUUCAAUAUAAAAAAUAUAGCAAUGUAUUUUAAGCACCUCUUAGCCUCGUGUGCAAUUACAUUUCAAUUAAUAUCAAAGCAAAAGUAGCAAUUCUGAAAAUAAAUUUCAUGUUUGCAAUUUAGUUUACAAUUUUAGUUUAGGAUUAACCUAACAAUAAAUCGUUCAGUUCACAUUUUUAAAUCACAUGAUUUGAAAUUUAAAAUCUGAAUCUCUUUUAUAUCUGACGAAGAAAGAAAGUAUCGUUAGUUUUGUUGUUGUUGUUUCUAUGUGAAUACAACCCUAUACAUAUUAAAUAUAACUGAAUCUGUUAAUAUGAGGUUGAUCUGGACUCCUAACAGAAUAAAGGUACAGUACAGCAACAAAUUCAAUAGCUCAUAUAAAAUGUAAUUAAUUGCUAUAAUUAAUAUAUAUAGGAUAUCGUAAGAGUUUUGAACUGGUGCUAUGACAAAGCAAAGACAAACAACAAAUCAACAUACCCAGGUAACAUAAUCUCAUUAUUCUCAAGAUGAAUAUGAGGUAUAAUGUAAGCUAUAUCACUCAUUUUUGUUAUACUGUUAAAAUUUUGUGUAACUGUGGUAAAAAUGUUUUUUUUUCUUUUGCUUCCUGCUGACAUCUAUAUAACCAGUAAGCUACUUACAUCAAGAAUGUAAAUAUGGGCAAUAAUGCUGGCAGAAGCUGAACCCUGAGGAUGGAGGGGACUCGUACAAAACCCUGAUGUGAAGAAAUUCUCAUGUAUGAAAAAGUUACCAGCUCAGCUCAGCAUAACAUUUCCUUUGUUUUAUUAUUUUUUAAUUUUUUAGAGUGUGCAUUUGUAUUCCACUGUCAAUUAUGGGUCCAUUUUUUUCAGUAACUCAAAUGUAAAUAUGUUUAUGAUAUUAAACUAACUUUCAUAAAGUGUUUAAGAAGUAAAAAGCUGAUUUUGUGCAAAACUGUUGAUUUGCAGCAUCUUGUUGACAUUCCUCUUUGUUACAAAUAUAAAUGAAAUGUUGUUUUCAGUACCUUCUUUACAG
Xiphophorus couchianus (Monterrey platyfish) is the source of this 1634-nucleotide long non-coding RNA. RefSeq lists it as uncharacterized. Lineage: Eukaryota; Metazoa; Chordata; Actinopteri; Cyprinodontiformes; Poeciliidae. The record is from RefSeq and is a predicted model, not a curated record. The transcript has 3 exons.